UACGUAGGUGGCGAGCGUUAUCCGGAAUGAUUGGGCGUAAAGGGUGCGUAGGCGGCCUGCUAAGUCUGGAGUGAAAGGUGCCGGCUCAACCGGUACAGGCUCUGGAAACUGGCGGGCUAGAGAGCAGGAGAGGGCGGUGGAACUCCAUGUGUAGCGGUAAAAUGCGUAGAUAUAUGGAAGAACACCAGUGGCGAAAGCGGCUCUCUGGUCUGUAACUGACGCUGAGGUUCGAAAGCGUGGGUAGCAAACAGG
This 252-nucleotide ribosomal RNA is filed under the name uncultured bacterium. RNAcentral's name for it is "partial 16S ribosomal RNA". It matches the Rfam family "Bacterial small subunit ribosomal RNA", at positions 524 to 776 of the family's 1533-position model. The record is from RNAcentral.